RNAcentral lists this unclassified non-coding RNA (337 nucleotides) under soil metagenome. RNAcentral describes it as "partial contains 5.8S ribosomal RNA, internal transcribed spacer 2, and large subunit ribosomal RNA". The stretch from base 1 to 120 matches the Rfam family "5.8S ribosomal RNA", at positions 35 to 154 of the family's 154-position model. The record is from RNAcentral.
GAUGAAGAACGCAGCGAAAUGCGAUAAGUAGUGUGAAUUGCAGAAUUCAGUGAAUCAUCGAAUCUUUGAACGCACAUUGCGCCCCUUGGUAUUCCAUGGGGCAUGCCUGUUCGAGCGUCAUUUGUACCUUCAAGCUUUGCUUGGUGUUGGGUGUUUGUCUCGCCUCUGCGUAUAGACUCGCCUUAAAACAAUUGGCAGCCGGCGUAUUGAUUUCGGAGCGCAGUACAUCUCGCGCUUUGCACUCAUAACGACGACGUCCAAAAGUACAUUUUUACACUCUUGACCUCGGAUCAGGUAGGGAUACCCGCUGAACUUAAGCAUAUCAAUAAGCGGAGGA